Molecule: unclassified non-coding RNA, 715 nt
Filed under: Hevea brasiliensis (rubber tree)
Lineage: Eukaryota; Viridiplantae; Streptophyta; Magnoliopsida; Malpighiales; Euphorbiaceae
Source: RNAcentral
UGCUUAAAUAUCAUGAGACUGGGGGUGAAUCAAGGGUUGAUCCCCAAUAUGGUGCAUGGAAUAUGAUAAACAAGAAAAUGGUGAAUGGUGGGAUGGUGGAUUUUUGGACAUGUGUGAACUUCUCUAUGCAGGUCCACCGAAAUUUGCCUCAUGACUUUUGUUAUCAGUUAAUUCAGAUGUGUGUCAGCAAAGGAAUGGGAUUCAACCCAAAUCCUAUUAUUCCAGUACAGUCAGCUCAUCCUAGCCAAAUUGAGAGGGCUCUUGCUGAUGUUCACAAGCAGUGUACUGCAAAACUUGCAAAUGAGAAGAAACGGCUUCAGUUGUUGAUAAUCAUUUUACCUGAUUUAAGUGGCUCAUAUGGGAAAAUUAAACGAAUCUGUGAGACUGAAUAUGGAAUUGUCUCUCAGUGCUGUCAACCAAAGCAGGCAGCAAAGCUAAGUAAACAGUAUUUUGAAAAUGUUGCCCUCAAAAUCAAUGUUAAGGUUGGUGGUAGAAAUACUGUGUUGAAUGAUGCUAUUCAAAGGAGAAUUCCUCUUGUGACUGAUCUUCCUACAAUUAUUUUUGGUGCUGAUGUAACUCAUCCAGCUCCUGGGGAGGACUCUGUUCCAUCGAUAGCAGCAGUAGUGGCUUCAAUGGACUGGCCAGAGGUAACAAAGUAUAGAGGACUUGUCUCUGCACAGGCUCACCGUGAAGAAAUUAUCCAGGAUCUCUAUAA